This is a long non-coding RNA of Octopus sinensis (East Asian common octopus), 168 nucleotides long. RefSeq lists it as uncharacterized. The transcript is spliced from 3 exons. The record is from RefSeq and is a predicted model, not a curated record. NCBI's taxonomy places the organism in Eukaryota, Metazoa, Mollusca, Cephalopoda, Octopoda, Octopodidae.
AGAAUAUUUGCUUCGUCAAAAGGUUUAACAUGUUCACUACAGAAAUCAGGUAUAUCCACUCAAAAUAUAAUUAGCCUUAACUAUGGAAAGCAGUAUUAUUUACCAAUCCAUCUUUUGUUGAAGAAUGUCAUGUUUGAAACUAAUUUUUUUGUUGAGAUAUGUCAUGUA